UACAGAGGGUGCGAGCGUUAAUCGGAAUUACUGGGCGUAAAGCGUGCGUAGACGGCUAUCUAAGUCGGGUGUGAAAGCCCCGGGCUCAACCUGGGAAUUGCAUUCGAGACUGAAUAGCUAGGGUACGGUAGAGGGAAGCGGAAUUUCCAGUGUAGCGGUGAAAUGCGUAGAGAUGUGGAGGAACACCAGUGGCGAAGGCGGCUUUCUGGUCUGUAACUGACGCUGAGGCGCGAAAGCGUGGGGAGCAAACAGG
Molecule: ribosomal RNA, 253 nt
Filed under: uncultured bacterium
Lineage: Bacteria
Description: partial 16S ribosomal RNA
Rfam family: Bacterial small subunit ribosomal RNA
Source: RNAcentral